Molecule: long non-coding RNA, 151 nt
Organism: Catharus ustulatus (Swainson's thrush)
Lineage: Eukaryota; Metazoa; Chordata; Aves; Passeriformes; Turdidae
Exons: 2
Source: RefSeq, a predicted model, not a curated record
UUCCAAAAGAGAAGAGAGUCAGAUGCCUGUCCAAGCUCCUGAGACCAAGGUUUGAUGGCACCAGAGCCAGGAUGAUGAAUGCAGAGAGCACAAGAUCCUAUGGAUGACCUCAGGGUUUCUGACAUGCCCCUCAAAGGGCUAAGGCAAGAGA